GGAGGGCUAGCGAAGUGGCCAAACGCGGGAGACUGUAAAUCUCUUCCUUCCAGGUUCGGUGGUUCGAAUCCAUCGCCCUCCACCA
RNAcentral lists this transfer RNA (85 nucleotides) under Paenibacillus artemisiicola. RNAcentral describes it as "tRNA-Tyr". It matches the Rfam family "tRNA". Rfam says of the family: Transfer RNA (tRNA) molecules are approximately 80 nucleotides in length. Their secondary structure includes four short double-helical elements and three loops (D, anti-codon, and T loops). Further hydrogen bonds mediate the characteristic L-shaped molecular structure. tRNAs have two regions of fundamental functional importance: the anti-codon, which is responsible for specific mRNA codon recognition, and the 3' end, to which the tRNAs corresponding amino acid is attached (by aminoacyl-tRNA synthetases). tRNAs cope with the degeneracy of the genetic code in two manners: having more than one tRNA (with a specific anti-codon) for a particular amino acid; and 'wobble' base-pairing, i.e. permitting non-standard base-pairing at the 3rd anti-codon position. RNAcentral also lists the same sequence under 1 other name. The record is from RNAcentral. Lineage: Bacteria; Bacillati; Bacillota; Bacilli; Caryophanales; Paenibacillaceae.